RNAcentral lists this ribosomal RNA (459 nucleotides) under uncultured bacterium. RNAcentral's name for it is "partial 16S ribosomal RNA". It matches the Rfam family "Bacterial small subunit ribosomal RNA", at positions 338 to 795 of the family's 1533-position model. The record is from RNAcentral.
CCUACGGGUGGCAGCAGUGAGGAAUAUUGGUCAAUGGUCGGGAGACUGAACCAGCCAAGCCGCGUGAGGGAGGAAGGUACAGAGUAUCGUAAACCUCUUUUGUCAGGGAACAAAGACUGGGACGCGUCCCCGGAUGAGUGUACCUGAAGAAAAAGCAUCGGCUAACUCCGUCCCAGCAGCCGCGGUAAUACGGGGGCUGCGAGCGUUGUCGGGAUUUGUGGGGUUAAAAGGGUGGGCAGGCGGGCUGUUAGGUCAGCGGUCAAAGCCCGGGGUCCAACCCCGGCCCGCAGUUGAAACUGGCAGACUCGAGUUGGAGAGAAGUAUGCGGAAUGCGCGGUGUAGCGGUGAAAUGCGUAGAUAUCGCGCAGAACUCCGAUUGCGAAGGCAGCAUGCCGGCUCCAAACUGACGCUGAGGCACGAAAGCGUGGGUAUCGAACAGGAUUAGAUACCCGUGUAGUC